Zonotrichia albicollis (white-throated sparrow) is the source of this 2214-nucleotide long non-coding RNA. RefSeq lists it as uncharacterized. The record is from RefSeq and is a predicted model, not a curated record. Lineage: Eukaryota; Metazoa; Chordata; Aves; Passeriformes; Passerellidae.
UUGCUGCUACCAGUGGCUGUUCCUGUAAAUUGUAAUGGAUCUAUAAGUCACAUUGAAACGCCAGGGCUGCUUUUCAGUCAUGCUCACCAUACUUCCUUUUCCUGAAGCAAGUAUUCAUGAAGAUUUUCACCUACUCUUUGCAGCCAUUGAAUCUCCAGCUCACAGGAAAGCCACUCUGAAUGAGUCGUGACAAAAAUGUGGCAGGGGAGAGAGCUGGCAGUGAAAAACAGAAAUUCUUGAAAACAAAUCUAAAAUGGAUUAUACAGUGGGAUGGCUAUGGCAAAAAAAAUACAGCAACCAUCAUGCUAAGCAAUCUUAAGAAAUGAAGCCUAUGUUCAAGUUCUUGCCUCAGAUCAAAAAGAAGAAAGAUAUAAGCCUGAAGCCCAGGUAAUGAAUCUUUCCUAAAAUCAGCCUGUGUGGAACAAGUUAACUUAGGUGAAGCUGAGUUCAUCAGGAUCUGCUCGGUAAAAUUAUAAUAUCACAAAAUGGUUGAGGCUGAAAUGGACCUCUGGAGGUCAUUGGCCCAAUCCCUCUUUUCAUGGCCACCUGGAGCUGAUUGUCAACAACCAUGUCCAUACCACUUUUCAGUGUCUCCAAGGAUGGUGACUGCACAACCUCCCUGAGAACCUGUGCCAGUGCUCAGUAACCCUCACCAUGAAAAAGUGUUUCCUGAUGUCCUGAGGAAACCUCCUGUCCAUUGCCAUUACCUCUGGUCCUGUCACUGGGCACCACUGAAGACGCUUCCUGUCCUCUUUGACAUUCUGUUCAGGUAUUUAUACACAUUAAUGGGAUCCUCCUGAGCUUUCUCUUCUCCAGACUGAACAGUAACUGCUCUCUCAGCCUUUCCUCUUCAAAGAGAUGCUUCAGUCCUUUCACCAUCUUUGUGGCCCUUUGCAGGACCAUUGGGUAGCAGAGUGACUUCUUUGCAAGGCCCCUCAAUAAUCUUUGAAUAAUCAUGACAAUCAGGACAAGUAUCCAAGGAGGAAAGAAGAUGUCACUUCUAAAUAAAAAGAAGGACCUAAGGAACUCCAAGCCUGUGAACCUCACCUCAGUUCCUGGAAAGAUGAUGGAGUAGCUAAUUCUGGAAACCAUUUCCAGACACAUGAAAAACAAGAUAAAACCUUGAUCACUAGACUGGGGAUAAUUUCACUUUGACAGGGCUAAAUUGAGUUUUCUACUUGCAAGGGAAAGCCUGAUUUUAAUAAGAGAAGGAAGAUUGGAAAUCUGUUGUGAAACAGGAUCCAAGGUUUGGAGGCCUAUAACAACAUCUAGGCAACCACAGAGAGGCAUUGCUUCCCUACAAGGUAUAUUUUCUUGAGACCAUUUUCCUUAGGUUCUCCAAGAAGUAUCUAGCCAAGUGGGCUGUGAAAGACUUCUGCAUUGUUCCUGGGUCUUGACACUUCUUGUGUGGCAGUCAGUCUUGGGAGUUGAUCAUGUGAAUUCAGCUCCUAUUCUUCAGUGCCCAGUUCAAAGGGACAUUGUUAGUGCUUAUCCCUAUGCAAGAAUGAUAAUGACAGCUGUAGUGGUCCAUAACUGACCAAAGAAUCUGCUUCAUACAGCACCUGAGUUGAAGGGAUUAGUGCUAUCUCAGAUGCCUUUUGAUUUCAAAAGAUAGGGCCAAGAGUCCCUAAAAGGUACAGUUCUCUUCCACAUCUGGGUAUAGAGAUUUGGAUGAAACAUGUACUUGUGACACUGAGUUGCAGACCAGACUAGUGCUCUGGAUAAUGAAGGGAAGCACUGGCUGUGAAGAAUUUCCUGACAGGGUUUUAUACUAGAAAUGUACAGGCAAUUGGUGUGUGCCAGAUGCUCAGAUAGAGUGCCUUAUGGACCUUAAUUACAGCAUGAGAAUUUAGGCUUCAAAAAGACUAAGCUACUUAGAACUUGGAAAAGACUUAAAUGAUGUGGCUAUUAGCUUCUUCUAGGCACUGAACCUACUACACUGAGUUCCAGUGUUAGAGAAAUCAAAAUUACCAUGACUUUGGAUUCCUGUAGGCAGCAUCAUAAGGCAUACAAUUAAAUUUAAUUACUAUAUGAAAUUUUAAACAAGAAAAUAGUAAUUUCUGUUUCUUCGAUCCAAAAAGCAUCCUAUAACUGCAAAAAAGAAAGGACAGAGAUGAACAAUAAAAGUGAUCAGAGGUAUGGAAAUGCUUCUAUACAUUGAAAAUUAUACAGUAGGUCAGGGGGCUGCAUUAUGGGAAAGAUAAGUGAUUAGGA